UCCUACGGGGGGCAGCAGUAGGGAAUUUUCGUCAAUGGGCGCAAGCCUGAACGAGCAAUGCCGCGUGAACGAGGAAGGUCUUCGGACCGUAAAGUUCUGUUGAAGGGGAAAAAGAGCGGAGAGAGGAAAUGGUCUCCGAUUGAUAUUACCCUUCGAGGAAGUCACGGCUAACUACGUGCCAGCAGCCGCGGUAAUACGUAGGUGGCGAGCGUUAUCCGGAAUGAUUGGGCGUAAAGGGUGCGUAGGCGGCCUGCUAAGUCUGGAGUGAAAGGUACCGGCUCAACCGGUACAGGCUCUGGAAACUG
Molecule: ribosomal RNA, 305 nt
Filed under: uncultured bacterium
Lineage: Bacteria
Description: bacterial SSU rRNA
Rfam family: Bacterial small subunit ribosomal RNA
Source: RNAcentral